GAUCUCUUGUUUUAUCUCUCUGUCUUUCUGUCUCUCUCUCUCUCUCUCUCUUUCCGUCUCCGAAGUGCGGAGUGAGAGAGAGAGAGAGAGAGAGAGACAGAGAGAGUUUAUAACUUUA
Non-coding RNA from Cinara cedri, 118 nucleotides. Lineage: Eukaryota; Metazoa; Arthropoda; Insecta; Hemiptera; Aphididae. The record is from the annotation of a GenBank genome assembly.